CCUACGGGAGGCAGCAGUGAGGAAUAUUGGUCAAUGGGCGGAAGCCUGAACCAGCCAAGUAGCGUGCAGGAUGACGGCCCUACGGGUUGUAAACUGCUUUUAUACGGGAAUAACGCGCCUUACGUGUAGGGCUUUGCAUGUACCGUAUGAAUAAGGACCGGCUAAUUCCGUGCCAGCAGCCGCGGUAAUACGGAAGGUCCGGGCGUUAUCCGGAUUUAUUGGGUUUAAAGGGUGCGUAGGCGGAAGGUUAAGUCAGUGGUCAAAUGUCGGUGCUCAACACCGGCCUGCCGUUGAAACUGGUCUUCUUGAGUGAGCGAGAAGUAUGCGGAAUGCGUGGUGUAGCGGUGAAAUGCAUAGAUAUCACGCAGAACUCCGAUUGCGAAGGCAGCAUACCGGCGCUCAACUGACGCUGAGGCACGAAAGCGUGGGGAUCGAACAGGAUUAGAUACCCUUGUAGUC
RNAcentral lists this ribosomal RNA (459 nucleotides) under uncultured bacterium. RNAcentral describes it as "partial 16S ribosomal RNA". It matches the Rfam family "Bacterial small subunit ribosomal RNA", at positions 338 to 795 of the family's 1533-position model. The record is from RNAcentral.